Molecule: long non-coding RNA, 273 nt
Filed under: Anas platyrhynchos platyrhynchos (common mallard)
Lineage: Eukaryota; Metazoa; Chordata; Aves; Anseriformes; Anatidae
Description: lncRNA (ENSAPLG00000017547.1)
Source: RNAcentral
AUUAGACUUAACAGAAGGUAUAGGAUACUAGCACAAUGUAAAAUGCAACUAGUCAUUGCAGCAUAAUGGAGUCCAUACCAGGAGUCCAUUGGUGUAAUUGAUAAUCCACUGGAGACCUUACCAGUUUGUUCUUAGCUGUGAUCUGGAGAAAUUCCAACUGAAAUCUGGAAGGGGUGAGUAUGACUUCUUCUAAUAAAGUAAUGUGGCACUAUUCCCAGAAGCUUGGCUCUAAAUAGAAGACAGCAAUCAAGAAAAUAUAUUUUUAUUCUUUUU